GGCGGCGCACGCAGUUGCAGCGGCCCGUUGCUCUCUCGGUCGGUGCUAUGUUAUGUUUGGCUGCUUGUGUACGUGUUGAUUUGUGUUCCGUCAUGUCGGACAAACAAAAUAUACAGUCGGGACGAUCUCCUGACGAUCGGUGCCCGCUACGAACGAGAUGUUACAGCUGAUUUUCAACUUGUUCAAUAUUCCGGGGGACAUAGCGAGGAGCCCCGGCGCGCCGUGGAUUACCAUCGCAGCAGGGAGGAAGCGACGGCGGCGUAGAGAGAGAAGGCAGAAGCGGGGCUGCAGGCCCGGCCUGCUAGCUAGGCUACGGAGGCAACCACACAAACCACCGCUCCCCAGCCUGUUUCUCUCCAACGCCAGAUCCCUUGCAAACAAGAUGGAUGAACUGAGACUACAGGCUGCAUCUCACAGCGCAGCGAAGGACAGCUGUAUUCUUCUGAUCACGGAGACCUGGCUGCAUCCAGACGUAGCGGACUCUGCCAUCGAGCUAGCAGGCUACACAGUACAGCGCCGCGACAGAACGAAGGACUCCGGUAAGAGCAGAGGAGGAGGGCUCUGUGUGUACCUGAACAACACCUGGUUACUAACACAGCGACUGUCAUCAGCCAUUGCUCCCCAGACCUGGAGUAUGUGACUGUUAGAUGCAGACCAAUAUACCUCCCCAGAGAGUUCACCGUAGUCAUGGUAACCGCUGUUUACAUACCACCGGAUGCUAAUGCUAAAACAGCUAUUGGACUUUUGCAUGGCAGCAUUAGCCAUCUGCAGAGCAUCUGUAAAUGCCCAUUCCAUUGUUUGUGCUGUUUGUGGGUUGCUACCCAUGGUGCCCACUGGGGGCGCUGUGGGUUGGUUCACUCUGAGUUGGUGCCUUCAUUUGAGGUGGAGAAUGAGAGGAAGUGUUGCUAGUCGGUCAGAGCUUUGGGCGGGAAUAUCCCACGGACAGGAGGAGGAGGAUGUUCUUCAUCUUUGUGACUCUGGGUUAGCGCACUUUCUUCAAAGAAGGCUAGAGGCAGCACUGCACGGACUUUGCCGCCGUGGACUUUGCAGCCCUUGGACAGCGGAGCGAGUUUUCACGGUGUAUUUGGAGCACGGUAUAUUUCAGUGCUAUUCAGCAAACUUGGCUGUGAAAGAAGCAAAUACAAAGCUACUACACCCGUCGAA
This is a long non-coding RNA of Xiphophorus hellerii (green swordtail), 1164 nucleotides long. RefSeq lists it as uncharacterized. NCBI's taxonomy places the organism in Eukaryota, Metazoa, Chordata, Actinopteri, Cyprinodontiformes, Poeciliidae. The record is from RefSeq and is a predicted model, not a curated record. The transcript is spliced from 2 exons.